RNAcentral lists this ribosomal RNA (1494 nucleotides) under Triticum aestivum (bread wheat). RNAcentral describes it as "partial small subunit ribosomal RNA". The record is from RNAcentral. Lineage: Eukaryota; Viridiplantae; Streptophyta; Magnoliopsida; Poales; Poaceae.
AUGCCCCCAAGUCUCAACGAUGAUGCAUACAUGUCAACUAUGGGUGUUGGGUCCAAUAAUUCGCAUUGGUCUCAAACCAAUGACAUCCAUUUCGAAGACCAUGAGUUUGAGGUGGACGAGGAGGGUGAGGGCAUUGUCGAGGCGCCGAAAGGAAGAGCGGGCAAUUACACCACCAACGAUGACAAGUUACUAUGCUAUACUUAUUUGCAAGUGUCGAGGGAUCCAUCCAUUGGAGGUGAUCAAAUUAGAGACGCGUAUUGGGGGCGAAUGAAAGAACACUUUGAUGCUCACAACGUGAGUGGAAUUGACCGCUCCGAGAGAUCACUUCGGUCCCGAUGGUCGACAAUCAACUCGGAUUGUCAAAAGUGGGCGGCCGCACAAAAGGAAGUUGACAAGAUUAACCCAAGUGGCACAAAUGAGGAUGAUCAAUACAACAUUGCACAAAACUUGUUCAAAGAAGAGACGAGGACAACCAAGAAGGGGAAGAUCAAGAAAGGCAGGAUCUUUACCUUGCCUCAUUGCUAUGAAGUGUUGAAGGAUGAUGAGAAAUGGAAGAAGCGUGAUGGUUUGGAUGAUUUGCAUUUGAGCAACAAACGCAAGCGAGCAAUUGAGUUGAAUGAUGAUGAGGAGGAGGAUGAUGUAUCAAGUGAUGACGGCAAGAGAAGCCCCACACCCAACUCGGUUUCAUACUCGAAGCCAAAACGACCGGAUGGGUGCAAGAAAGACAAAACUGAAAAGAAGAAGAGGAAAGGAGAUGAUGAGCUCAAAAAUGCUAUGGAAGCAAUUGUCAACGCAAGAAGAGAAGCCAACGAGGUGAGGAAAAUGGCAAGGAACCAAGAUGCCGCGGCCGAGGAAAGGAGGUUGGCGGCCGAGGAGAGAAGGGUGGUGGCCGAGGAGAGGAAGGUGGCUUUGGAGGAGAGGAAGGUGAGCAAUGAGGAGCGAACUAGAUUGUUGGAAUGGGAGAAACACUUGUUCUUCUUUGACACAUCCAACCUCAAUGAAGCGCAAAAGGAAUAUGUCAAUCUUGCCCGUGAAGAAGUGUUGAUCCAAAAAAGAGCCAUGAUCUGCAUGAGUGGCGGUGGCCUUGGCGGCAUGGGUGGCGGUGGCCUUGGCGCCAUGGGAGGCAUGGGUGGCUUCGGAGCCAUGGGAGGCAUGGGUGCACCUCCAGCUGUCAUUGGAGGCAUGGGUGCAUCUCCGGCCGUCAUGGGAGGCAUGGGUGGCUUUGGAGCACCCUCCGACGCUAUGGCUGCCAUGGGAGGCAUGAGUUUUGCUUCUCUCAUGGGAGGCAUGGGUGCACCUCCGGCCGCCAUGGGUGGAAUGUCUUUCGAUGUGCCUUCUCACACACAUUCCCAUGAAAAUGUCGUUGAAGAUCUUGGCAACACCGUUGGAGCUUCACGUGAUGCGGUGCGUGAUGAGGAGAGGGAGGAAGAUUCAUCUUCGGAGGCGGAAGAAUCGUCUUCGGAAGAUGAGGACGAAGACGAGAAAGAUGAUUGA